This 240-nucleotide ribosomal RNA is filed under the name Triticum aestivum (bread wheat). RNAcentral describes it as "partial small subunit ribosomal RNA". Lineage: Eukaryota; Viridiplantae; Streptophyta; Magnoliopsida; Poales; Poaceae. The record is from RNAcentral.
AUGGAGGAACUAGGCUUGAAGGAGGAUGACUUCCAGGACGUGGUUGUGGAUGAUAGCGAGUUGAUCCCUGAAGCAACUCGUUGGAUGGCUUUGGCUAGGGUGCACACUAACAAACCCUACAACCAAUAUUGGUUCUAUCGGAACAUGAGGGUGGCAUGGGAUCUGGCGCAAGAGGUGAAAAUCCGGCCGCUCGAGGAUAAUCUGUACUCUAUGCAAUUCUCAUGCCUUGGCGACUGGGAG